UGGGGAAUAUUGGACAAUGGGCGCAAGCCUGAUCCAGCCAUGCCGCGUGAGUGAUGAAGGUCUUAGGAUUGUAAAGCUCUUUCACCGGUGAAGAUAAUGACGGUAACCGGAGAAGAAGCCCCGGCUAACUUCGUGCCAGCAGCCGCGGUAAUACGAAGGGGGCUAGCGUUGUUCGGAAUUACUGGGCGUAAAGCGCAUGUAGGCGGAUAUUUAAGUCAGGGGUGAAAUCCCGCAGCUCAACUGCGGAACUGCCUUUGAUACUGGGUAUCUUGAGUAUGGAAGAGGUGAGUGGAAUUCCGAGUGUAGAGGUGAAAUUCGUAGAUAUUCGGAGGAACACCAGUGGCGAAGGCGGCUCACUGGUCCAUUACUGACGCUGAGGUGCGAAAAGCGUGGGGAGCAAAACAGGAUUAGAUACCCUGGUAGUCCACGCCGUAAAACGAUGAAUGUUAGCCGUCGGGCAGUAUACUGUUCGGUGGCGCAGCUAACGCAUUAAAACAUUCCGCCU
RNAcentral lists this ribosomal RNA (505 nucleotides) under uncultured bacterium. RNAcentral's name for it is "partial 16S ribosomal RNA". It matches the Rfam family "Bacterial small subunit ribosomal RNA", at positions 355 to 874 of the family's 1533-position model. The record is from RNAcentral.